AAAUUCUCAACGAUGGAUAUCUUGGUUCCCAUAACGAUGAAGAACGCAGCGAAGUGCGAUAAGCAGUGCGAAUUGCAGAACCGUGAGUCAUCAGAUUUUUGAACGCAACUGGCGCCGGUUGGCUCUCCAGCCGGCAUGCUUGUUUCAGUG
This 150-nucleotide ribosomal RNA is filed under the name Protogastrostyla pulchra. Its description in RNAcentral is "5.8S ribosomal RNA". It matches the Rfam family "5.8S ribosomal RNA". Rfam says of the family: 5.8S ribosomal RNA (5.8S rRNA) is a component of the large subunit of the eukaryotic ribosome. It is transcribed by RNA polymerase I as part of the 45S precursor that also contains 18S and 28S rRNA. Lineage: Eukaryota; Ciliophora; Spirotrichea; Sporadotrichida; Oxytrichidae. The record is from RNAcentral.